Molecule: long non-coding RNA, 9427 nt
Organism: Cygnus atratus (black swan)
Lineage: Eukaryota; Metazoa; Chordata; Aves; Anseriformes; Anatidae
Exons: 4
Source: RefSeq, a predicted model, not a curated record
GGGCGGGCCCGGCGUCGCCUGGGCGCCGCGAGCCCCCCGCCGGGUGGCCGGGGUGAGGAGGGGAAGAUGGCGGCGUGAGCGCAGCGGGCGGAGCGGCCGGGGCCGGCCGGGCCCCGCGGCUCGGGCCGCGCUCAGGCUCCCUGAAGAGAAUGUUGAAUGGUGAAAAAUGAUGCUCGCCAGGUCUGCUUUUCCCCAGCUUCAUAUUGAGAGUAAGACUUACCCAUCAGCGUGGGCAUGGAUGGUCAAGCUUAUGAUCAGCUGAAAUAUUUGAGUGCCUCGGAGAGAAAGUGAUGGUGACGUGGUAUAUUGCCAUUUCCAUAGUCUACUCACUACUUCUACCAUAGGAGUUGAAAAUUAUCACCAGAAGAUUAUUUCUGAACUUGAUCAACUAAAGGAUUAAGAUCCUUGCUGAAAUUUAAGAAGAUGAUAGUCCUGUUGCUUGCUCACAGGCUGUGAGAUGUGGACAUGUCUCUCCUAGCAAGCAAAAACUUGUCCUUCACUUCCAUGGAGCUGCAUGAACAAAGAUCUCUUCACUUCCUGCAUCAACCAUCUCACCCAACGCUUAAUUCACCAGAUAACUUCUCCCGCAGAAACAACCCCGCUGCGGUAUCAAAACUCAAAAGCAGAGUAACAGAAAUCAGCAUUUGUUUCCCUGAAGAAAUGUCUUCUGUGCCAGCUCUUCAUCCAGCUUUCUGCAUUCUGUUUUAAAAUGAGAAAAACUUUGAAAUCAGAUGGAAGUGCAAGCUGAUGUUCUUCACUGAUAUCUAUCUCCUUCUUCAUUUUAGGAAGGAUAAGUUCUUCACUGUGUCAUACUGGAAUUCCUGGCAUAUAAAGCGUCUGCAUGCAUUGCCAUGCCAAACUUGACAUGCAUGAAAAGUUUCAGCAGGAAAUGAGGACAUAUUUUCUGCUCUGACAUAUGGAAGAAACUUACCAAACAAUUGGAGAAGUCCCAUAACAGGUAUUUUGUAGCCCAGGAACCUGGCUUGACUUUGUAGAUAGAUGUCUUGAUGUCAACUCACAUAAAGCAGCUAAUGCAGAGGAACAAAUGCAGAAUCAUCUUGUCUAUAGUGUGUAACGGCAUCAUCCCAAUCUGUGAUCAAAAUGUAUAUUUGCAUGUGUAAACCCACAUAAGUGCUGGAUAUGAAGAGCUUUCACCAGAAGGAGAAAUUACUCUGCACCACUUCAUUUUUAGCAAAGAAAAAUGAAGCUUUAAAGACCUUCAGGGUUACAGGAUAAUGAUUAGGUUUGUGUUAUAUCAUUCCCUCCCUUUGGCUUUUUAUAAAUCCUUAGCAGCAAAAGGAACAUUCUACAGUUGAAAAGAUGGGGCAGAAUUUCUUUCUUUAUUUAAAGAAAUUAACUUCUGGUGGGAUGGAAGAGACCGGAGGUGUAAAGUUGCGGUUUGUCCGCUCAGCUUCCUUUCCACAGUUUCAGCUUUUCGUAUUGCUGAUGGAAUCAGAUACUUUUUAUUCUUCUGUGACUGAGAACUGAGAUGACCUGUAUGUUUCCAUCAUCUAGGCCUGGUAGAACGAGCUGGUAGCCGCGUAAGAGGUAUGGCUUGACAGAGAGCAAAAAUGCUUAGGCCGGGCCUUUUUCUGGUUCCUCCUAUUCCUUCUCAAUCUAAGGCGCUAUCUGUUGUUCUUAUGUUUACACAAGAUUCUUUGUCUACAUCGUUUGUGAUUAUAUAGGAUAUUUUCGAUCAUUCUGAGGUGGGAGUUUGUACUGUUCACAUGCUCCUUGCUGUGGUAUUGUAUAUGGCAAAUAAGGUUACUUGGCAAAAAGAAAUCUCCAUUUCAAGUCUGGAGCUCUUAGUGCACCUUAAUCCACACUUGUGAUUUAGAAAAUGUGAUUUACUAGCUUAAAAUAUUUUCAAAUUUGGAUCAAAUAAAGGUAUAUAGAUUCUGUUAAUAGGUUUGGGGGGAUAAUAACAUGGUUGGGGGGUGGGGUGUUUUUUUGUUUUAGUUUGUUCUAUUUUUCAUUUUAGAAAACUGCUGGAGAGAGCCAGACAGCCUGGAAAUGGCUGAAAAAGCCAACAGUUGAAAUCCUUCUUAAAUCUUGAUGAUAGAUGGCGAGGGCAGCAUUGCGAUAUUUAAAAUGUAGUGAAAUUUUGUGGGGACCACGUUCCACAGCAGAGUAAGGAUGAGUGUUGGUGUUGAUCCUGGUCUUUGGGGUAAAGUUAGAUCUGUGUAUAGACUUGCCUUGUAACAAUAAGAUUUAAUGACAGCUUUACCCAUUGUUUGUUUCCAAGAAGCAAAGAUCAGACAUGAAAGCUAAGGAGAGUAGGAAAGACACUGUGUAUCAAAAUAAUGCCAACUGUAAUGAGCAGAGAGGUGCACUAAAAUUGUAUGCAACAUUGCAAUGAGCUGUGUUUCUUUUGUUAGUUUAGAUGAGUUACGUUAAUCCUGGUGAGGCAACCACCAACUUGGCCUGAUUUCUUUUAAGAAUAUAGGAUGUCUUUGCUGAAAAUGGUCUGAAUUUUCUGGUUUUAGACGCAACUAGAAAAGCACACUUACUUUUAGGUCCUCCUUUUGUUGAAACCAAUAGGAUUUAAUGUAGAUGUCUGUAGAAGCAGGAUCCAUCUCUAAGUGAUGGAAAAUACUGUUAAUAUCAUAGGAUUAUAUGUUGUUGGAAGGUAUCUGGUAUAAGAAACAUCUGAUCCUAAAUGUGGGAAAUUCCUUUUCUUCCUUUUGCCCAUACUUGUCCUUCUGACAUUAGAGCUAGCAGUUGUUUCUUGCAUAGCUGGGUGACAAAAUACUUGGGGAACAGGAAUGUAUUUUUAUCUUCUGUGGAUAUGUACAAAAACUAAUAAUUUUUCUGACUAGAGAGUAGACAAUUCAUGCUACUGUAUUUCCACAUCCGUAAGAAUAACCCUCAACAUUUUGUAACCCUGCAUUGUAACAACAACAAAAAAACUACAGAUUUUUCCUGACUCCUAACCCAGAUAACGUAAGAACAUAAGCUUUCAAGUUUACUUUUAGAACAUAAUAUUUUUAGCAGGGCUAAAGAUCUGUGGCUUUCACAGAACUAAUACUCCAACAAUGCAUGCCCAGAAGACCCCCACAGCCGUAACUUUCCAGCCAGCUUCUUUAUAAAAGUGCUGUGUUAGGAAAUGCUGCCUCAGCCUACUUACUUUUUCUUGCUCCACUUUUUCUCUAUGUUGGUUGGAAAUCUUCCCAUGUGAAAGAUUACAAAAACAAGGGGCAUGUGCAAUAGAUCAUAUAUAUAUACAUAUAUAUAUUUUAAUACUUGUGGACAAAAUGAUGUUACAAGUUGUUUGAAAACAACAAAAUCACCAAUGUCUUCCAUUUUGAGAUGUGUAUAGUUCCAUAAGCAUUAGUGCUUUGUAGCAAACAGUAGUGCCAUGUUAGGAUCAGUGCAUGAGCCUAGUAGUAUUUUUACAAUUUCAGAGUGACAAAUUUAUUAAUAAGCAGUGAUGAUAAUGUAAUUAACAAUAGAAAGGAUACAGUAGAAAUGUCACAAACAUGGUCUAAAUAUGCAGUAUCCUCCCUGUGACAGUGGUAAUGCUAUCUUUAGAAAGUGAAUGCAUUCAUUUAAUGGGCUUCAUAGAGUCAUAGUUAACUUUGUUUUUAGUAUUUCUGUCCAACUGCAAUAGUGAACUAGUGUAUGUAAGCAUCCAGAAUUCUCAUCUGUCACCAGUGAUUCUUUUCGUUUUAGUCUUUGUUGAAGGUGUGUUCUUCUAUGAGCAGCAUUUUCCAUUUAAUUAUUACCCAUCCUAUGAUAUACUCAGAAUUAAGAAUGUGGUAAAGAGUUUGUGUUUGUUUUGUGCACAUCUCUACUACCUUAAUAUUAUUUACAAAAUCUAUUAAGAAAAAAAAUCAAAUCCAAUUACAUAAUUAUUAGAACCAGUUAAACAUUAUCCUUUUCAUCUACUAAGUUAGUUAUUGGUUGCAAAAUGCUUUCUUCCAAUUAUAAGUAGAAUACUUUUGUCCAUUAUUGCAGGAAUGGAAAACCUUUUUUUUUUUCCUGAAGUCCUGUUGAAUCUUUUAACACCUUUGGUGGAUCCUGCAUUUACACACAUCUUAAUAAGAGAGAAUAUAAUAAGAUUAAGGGCUGUUGGAAACCAACAUUGCAGACUGCAUCUGUUCAGCAGGCUAUAUCUAGCCUAUGGGUCAUAGAUUCCCCACCCCUGUAUUAUUGAGAAUUCAAUAUCCUGUGUUUUGGGUAACUUCUAGUAUUGCUUUCCAGCUCUAAUCUCAAUUUUAAUAACUUACGUCUCUCCCUCUGCUUUUUUCAGAAGGAAAGUUUAGACCAGGGAAUGUUCAAAUGAUUUAGCACGCAAUGGGCAGCUUGGACUGGUGAAAUAAGAGACUGGUAUGAUUCCUGAGAUGAGCGAUGCUCUGUGGAUGGCAUUCUCUCAUUUCCUAGGAAAAAAAAGUCUUAUUUGGUACCAGUGUUGCUCUUCACGCAUUUCUUUUACAAGAACAAAAUUCUCUGUCACUUUAGAGAGGAUACUGCAUCUUUUUUCCCUGAGACCUGCCUGUAAAUGGCCAUUAGGAGGAGGGAGGGAAUGGGUAGCUUGGUUUUGUAAUUUUAAUAGGAUGUAUCUCUAAAGUAAUUAAUCAAGUAGCAUGUUCUUUGGUGCAAAACCAGUAAUCCUUGCAGAGUUAAUGUGUGUAACAAACCCCCCACCCCGACCCUCUGCAUCUGAUAAGUUUCCAAGAAAACUGGGUGGUUGGGCCAUUUACAGCAGAGCUCUGGGGGACCUGUGCUCAGAGUUAGGUUCAAUUCUGAACAGAAGUAGCUGUACCAUUGAAUAAAGUAGUUUAGUGCUUGGGAGAAUCAAUUGAAAAAUACCUCUGAAACUGGAAUGCAAAAUAGCACAGUAUGUAGGGGGAAGAAUCCCUGAUGCAAACAAAGCCAUAAGAUGAUUUAAUAAGAAAAUAGAACUUUAGUAGCAAUAACUGUUUUGCAUGUGAUAGUAAAUAACUUGCAUUAGCAAGACUGUACAGUAGAGUAGGUGGGUAAUAACCAAAUAAGUUUGUGGCGCUCUGUGCUGCAGGGAGUUGCAUGAAAAGUCUCUUUUCCUAAGAUGGGUGAAUUCCUCUUAAUGUUCCUCUCAUUGGAGGGAAUUUGGCACUUGAAUACUUAGUUAGUGAUAUUAAAACAAAAAAAUGUUUACCUUUGUCACACAUCUGAAGCACCGUCAGUGAGUGCUGGGGGAAGUGCAGACAGUUCUUUCUGAAAGGGUAGCUGAAAUUUCCUUUUUUUACGGUCUAGCACUUGCUCAGUUUUUCUGAGGGGAAGCUAAACCCUUCCAUAUACUGGACUGUGGAAAGAACUUGGUUCUGAAGUUAGAAUGCAUUUUAUUGUAGAUGGUACUUAUUUUCUUUGUUUAAAAAGACCAACCUGAGAUGGUGACAGGUCUUUAAAAAAGAAAUUUAUUAGAUAACAUUUGACACUGAAAACAUUUCUUCAUCCCAAAGGACAAUUGUAGGAUCCUAAAAAUGUUACUCUGCAGCAAAAAUAAUUUUAGACUUGCUAAACACUCUGUUCCAAGCCAUUGAUUUCUGUUAAUGCCUGAAGUUUUGCAGAGACAAGUACGGUGAAGCCUCUGGUAACAGAAAGGGAUAUUGAUCUACAGCUGUAGCCUCUGCACCCAGCAAAGUAUCUACUAUCAAAGGGUUACAUAAAAGAGCCCCAGAAGUUCUAAAAUGUCCAUAGUUGAUGCUGUUUUCAGUGCAGAAACAUGGUCUAUAGAGACAGCAUGGCCCAGCAGAUAAUAGCGUGUUCCUAACAGAAGUAUUACAUCAGAAGUUUAGGUCUAUCUGGCUAGAUUUCUGCUAGAAAGUUGAAGUAGUUUGGAAUGUAACUUCCAGCUGAAGGGAAGCUUCUGAUGUUCUGAAAUUACAUGGGUGAAGCCUUUUGGCUCUUUGUAAGUUGAUAGUGGGACUGUUAAGGGCUGUGAGUGUUUCUACAGCGUAAUGUAAUUAAGAUAAGCACGAGCAUAUCUAAAUUAAAUGUUGGCUAAUAUGUGUAUGAAAAGCUAACUGAUCUGGAAAGUUAUAAUCAGCUUAAAUUCCAGCUAUUGCAUUAUUGAUAAACUUGGAAGCUGGCCAUAGGGAGCCUUAAUUUGAUUGUGAUCUGAUUACAUUAAAUAAAUUAUAAAUUUCUUGUAGUCUGUGGUCAGCAAGUACAUUUACGUAAUGAAUUAAAAAUGAAAACAUGGUCACGUUCAGACUUCAGAAGUAUGAACUUUGUGGCUGAAUAGAAAUUUUCAAGGCUUUAUUCAUUUAGAGAAGGGGGGAGGAGGGGAGAUUGAGACUGGUGUAACGAGGUGAGCUAUCUGCAUAUUCUUCCCAGUUCAGAUUUAAUAAUGAUCUGAAUUCCAUGGGGUACUAUGUUAGAAAUUAGUAUUCACAGCCACAAAGGAAAUCCCAUUGCCUUUCAGCUGUCAUACUAUGUCAUGCCUUUUGCUCCAAACGCCUUGAUUUCACUGCUGCUAAAACUAAGUAGCAGUGCUACGUGCUACCACGCUGCAGUGUGGGGUAUCAGAAGUGCCGUGACCACUACUGGCAUGACCCCAUCAGCAUUACUGAACCCAGGUGAUACAUGUGUGUGUACUGUUCCUUACCCAGUGGUUCUGCUGUAGAAGAUCUAGCCAGUACUUGCGCUGGGAAUUGCAGCUUGAGGAUUGCAACUUCUGCAACUGAGCAUAAUUAUCAGAUUUAGGACAAAAAAAAAAAAAGGUUUGCAGGCUACUUGAUAGUGAACGACAACAAAUUGUACCGUGCUUCAGGACAUAGACACUUUAUGCAAGGGUUACACUGACAAGAGCUGGCAGUGGUUUUGAGCAGAGAAGGAUAGAAGAGUUUUUGAUGGAUAACCAAUUUUACAAAUAAUUACUUCCCUAGGAAAGAGUCUGGUCUUCCUUCAAAACCUAAUAAUCCUGCUUGCUGUUCAGGUACAGAGCUGCAUAAAUGGCAGUUUGAGUGAGGUUCCACUGGUUUUCUUUUACUGAAUGAUCCAGCAUAUUGCCCCUAUAGCACUUUGACUGGCACGCAAAAGCCAGCAGUCGAACCAGGGUGUCUCAUUUAACAGUGCAGAACACUAACCAGGAAUUCUGCUUUCUAUUCCCUUUCAGUCUGCUCAGCACUAUCUCCUGAGUUUUAGAGAAAGUGUAGGUGUACUUGACGUAAGCAAGGAGUGUGUUUCCGUCUCUGAGCCUAUGUACCAGGUUAUAGGAUAGACAGAUUCCCUAAGGCUUUACAGCAUUUAAGGUUAAAGAUAAAAAGUAACUUACUGUUCAGUGUGUCCUGUGUAAGUCUUAUCUGCUUCUUUCCUCUUCCCCUCCAAACGGGUGUGUUUGCAGGUCAAAUAAAAGAAGACUAGUUUGUGAUGCCUGAGGCAUAAAGAAGUGCAUGGAGAAACUGAAGGAAAGUGGCACAGGCCCACAAACCAAAUCUUAGAGCUAGUAUUCUAAUUAUGCAUGAUUCAAAAUGUCUAGUGUAAUGUAGUUAUUACCAGUAAAUUGAGAUAUGCAUUUAUACAUAACGAAGCAAUAGGAAUUAAUAUACCAAUAGCUUGAACUUCCUGCUUUGAUUCUCAAACUUUGAUUCUCAAACUGUUUUUUUUUUUUUUUUUUUUAAGAGAAUGUGCUGCCUCUGUAGAGAAAGGGGCAGAAUGUAUAGAUAGGGACAGAAGCAUGGCACCAAAACUGUAAAUCAGGAACCAGGAUCAGCAGAACUCGCCUUUAUAACCUCUUGUCUGGUUCAUUUUAGUGCCCUGAGCAUGUAAAAAGCAGGGCAUGGACUAAGCAUGUUUAAGGGCGAGAUGAGGUUUCUCACCUGCUGCAGCUGUAGCAAGGAAAAGGGUGCAGAGUUUCUUUCAAGGUGCAGGGGGGGAGCAACUGGUUAAAAAAAAAAUAAAAAAUCCACAGUAACAGAAACAAUGGACUCAAAUUGAGUGUAGUAUUUGCCAGACAGUAGGUAAUAGGCUUGUGCUUGGUGAGAGAAAUUAUUUGGAGAAGACUGAAAUUAAUAAGCACAGUACAAAUAUUUCAGGUGUUGAAUAGCUUUUUAAUAGACAGUAUUUUCAGGUAACUCUCUAGCCACAUAGGCAGCUGUACUGAAGCAUACUGGUACCAGCCAGCAAUAAUGGCACCUGCAGGAAUGAACCUGAAAAUACUGGUAAUCUUGUAUAUUUUUUAAGUUCUUUGACAAAGAGAUUUUUAAAAACAAAAAAUGAGAUUUGAUCACUGAAGGUCUUUAUCUUCUGCAACACAGGUUGCAAUAUAGUCUUUUUUUUCUUUAUUUCACUUAUUAAAUAAAAGGGAAUUUGGGUGCCAUUUUUCCGUAAACUUUUACUGUGCUCUCUGUAAUAUUUUCCAAGUCUUUUAGUGGGUACUGCAGUGAAUUUCUGCUGGCAGUUUGAAAAUCACAUAGAACGCAUGGCAGUGUCUGUCACUAAUGCUUUUCCUAGUUUAAAGUAUUCAAUCACGUAGAAUACUAGCAUGUUACUGCAGAAUUCCAUACUUUUAGCUUAGCUUAAUUUUGUAGGUGGGCUUAACUUGUGCAGAACACUUCUCCGUGUACAGAGGCUCAGUCCCCUUUCUUAAGCAGAAAGAGGAAGUGUCUUGGAGGAAGAAAUUGUGUGUCAAGUUAAAUCCUGAUCAUGCUUCGUAGCCAAGCGUCCAUAAAGCACCAUGAUUUGGGUUUAGAAUGGGGGCUGUGUUUUUCUCAUGAAUGCUUUCUAGAUAUACAAGAAUUGCCAAAUGAAGAUAGGAAUAUUAUUAGAGAAUAUUUAACUAUUUUACAGUAUCAAAGUUAGGUUAAAUGAAAUCCUUUGAGCCAACUUCUUCAAGCUAAAAGGGAAUCUAUUUGUAAAAAGGGUUUAGCCCAGCAGUUACCCAUGGCCACCUAAUGCCUAGAGGAUAUUCUUUAGAACACUUCAUGUGGUUUUAAACCGUUACAUGUUUUCUUUUGUGUGGUGAGUAAGCAGUUGUAUCCGUUGUUAAUACUUAUCCCUGUCAAUAUAAAACCUGGGGAAGUAAGCUACUUUAGGACUUCAGUGAAGAUAUCCUCCUUUUGAGAAAUACAACAGCAAAGGAGAAGCAUUAAUUAUAGUUUCUUAAAAAUUAUCUUAAUACUUAAACAAGUUAGAGAAGACUUCUUAUACUGAACUUCUGAUGGCAUUGCUCACAAGGGUUAGUGGAGAUUACUGGUAUCACUACGUACUCCCAUUGCACACAUUUUACAUGGUAACAGUAAAAGAAUGUUUCCCUGCAAAUUCUAAUUUUUUUUUUCCAAAAGGCAGCUUGCUUUUAUAUCUAUGCAUCUUUGAGGAUUUCAAGAUAAGAUUUUAUUCUUUUGACGCUGUAAAGAGGAACUGUUUAAAAAUGAACUUGGAAACUCUGCACCUGUAUACAAAUUUUUUUAGCAAUAAAGCAGCACAGGCUGAGAAUGCACUAAAA